GACCUUGUAGCUCAGACGAUAGAGCAUCGUUAUAGAAAUGCGAAGGUCGCGGGUUCGAAUUCCAGCCGCGGUCA
RNAcentral lists this transfer RNA (74 nucleotides) under Paramuricea clavata. It matches the Rfam family "tRNA". Rfam says of the family: Transfer RNA (tRNA) molecules are approximately 80 nucleotides in length. Their secondary structure includes four short double-helical elements and three loops (D, anti-codon, and T loops). Further hydrogen bonds mediate the characteristic L-shaped molecular structure. tRNAs have two regions of fundamental functional importance: the anti-codon, which is responsible for specific mRNA codon recognition, and the 3' end, to which the tRNAs corresponding amino acid is attached (by aminoacyl-tRNA synthetases). tRNAs cope with the degeneracy of the genetic code in two manners: having more than one tRNA (with a specific anti-codon) for a particular amino acid; and 'wobble' base-pairing, i.e. permitting non-standard base-pairing at the 3rd anti-codon position. The record is from Rfam by way of RNAcentral. Lineage: Eukaryota; Metazoa; Cnidaria; Anthozoa; Malacalcyonacea; Plexauridae.